AUACGGAGGGUGCAAGCGUUGUUCGGAAUCACUGGGCGUAAAGGGCGCGCAGGCGGUUUGGUAAGUCAGAUGUGAAAGCCCACGGCUCAACCGUGGAAGUGCAUUUGAAACUGUCAGACUUGAGUACUAGAGGGGAAAGUGGAAUUCCCGGUGUAGAGGUGAAAUUCGUAGAUAUCGGGAGGAAUACCGGUGGCGAAGGCGACUUUCUGGCUAGAUACUGACGCUGAGGCGUGAAAGCGUGGGGAGCAAACAGGAUUAGAAACCCUAGUAGUCC
This 274-nucleotide ribosomal RNA is filed under the name uncultured bacterium. Its description in RNAcentral is "partial 16S ribosomal RNA". It matches the Rfam family "Bacterial small subunit ribosomal RNA", at positions 523 to 796 of the family's 1533-position model. The record is from RNAcentral.